CACGGAGUGCGCCUCGCUGCCGCACACACACUCCGCCCUCAUUUUACCAACAGGACUGCUCAUCCGCACGGAGUGUCUGCGCGGUGGACCAGACCCGGUCUCCCUGCGGGCGCAUGAGGCCAGCAGCCCCCUGCAGACGAGGUUAUGUGGGAGAAUCUGACGUCCUGGGCAGUGCGGAAAACGUGCAGGUGCUCAGUCCUGUCCUGCAGAAACGCUGGGCUGGGAGCCCUGACGGGAGCGGGUUUGAGGGCACAGCAGGGCGACUCCAGAGAGCAGCACACGGCACACACAGCCAGAGCUGGAGAAGUCUGAAAACUUUCUCCAUGAAGAAAUUGUAAAUGUCUGGGGAGAUGGAUGUGCUUUCCCUGAUUUAAACACACACAAUGUAUACAUGCAUCAAACCAUUCUGCAGCACCCCAUGAAUAUGCAAUUUUUAUGUUUUUAUGUAUCAGUGAAACAGUAAAUAUAAAAAAUAUAAAAAACCAAACAUCGCCUACAAAAGGAAAGAAAUAUACUGUGAUAUAUGUUACAUCUACUUAUAUAUAAUUUUCAUUCACUGGUCGCUACAUCAAAACGUUGUAGUGAAAUUAAUUUUGAUAUACAUUGUUUUUAGUCUUAACGAGUUGGAAAUACCCUCUCUUAGCAUGCGGCUAAUAUUUAAGAAGCGCAG
This 670-nucleotide long non-coding RNA is filed under the name Heterocephalus glaber (naked mole-rat). RNAcentral's name for it is "lncRNA (ENSHGLG00000043243.1)". Lineage: Eukaryota; Metazoa; Chordata; Mammalia; Rodentia; Bathyergidae. The record is from RNAcentral.